GUCGUCAGCUCGUGUUGUGAAAUGUUGGGUUAAGUCCCGCAACGAGCGCAACCCUUAUCCUUUGUUGCCAGCGGUCCGGCCGGGAACUCAAAGGAGACUGCCAGUGAUAAACUGGAGGAAGGUGGGGAUGACGUCAAGUCAUCAUGGCCCUUACGACCAGGGCUACACACGUGCUACAAUGGCGCAUACAAAGAGAAGCGACCUCGCGAGAGCAAGCGGACCUCAUAAAGUGCGUCGUAGUCCGGAUUGGAGUCUGCAACUCGACUCCAUGAAGUCGGAAUCGCUAGUAAUCGUGGAUCAGAAUGCCACGGUGAAUACGUUCCCGGGCCUUGUACACACCGCCCGUCACACCAUGGGAGUGGGUUGCAAAAGAAGUAGGUAGCUUAACCUUCGGGAGGGCGCUUACCACUUUGUGAUUCAUGACUGGGGUGAAGUCGUAACAAGGUAACCGUAGGGGAACCUGCGGUUGGAUCACCUCCUU
This 481-nucleotide ribosomal RNA is filed under the name Escherichia coli. RNAcentral's name for it is "bacterial SSU rRNA". It matches the Rfam family "Bacterial small subunit ribosomal RNA", at positions 1051 to 1532 of the family's 1533-position model. Lineage: Bacteria; Pseudomonadati; Pseudomonadota; Gammaproteobacteria; Enterobacterales; Enterobacteriaceae. The record is from RNAcentral. RNAcentral also lists the same sequence under 1 other name.